AUUGAAUUUCAUGUUUGUGUUUUUUUUUGCAGAGUGACUGUGGAUAAUUCUUCAAGUAGAACAACCACUUUGAUAAAGCUUUGAAAUUUAAACGUUAUAAGGAAUACGAAGCUGCAAAAAAUACGAAACAAAUUGUUUCGGUAGCUUCUGUUAGCUUUUUGAAGGUCUUCACUUCAUUUGAAACAUAAAGAGAUGUGUUGCAUUGCAGGUUAUAAAUAAUUUUUUGAAGGUUUACUUUUCAUCUUAUGUUGGUUGUGAAUUAUACUAAUAUAAUCAAUGUCGAAUUCCGUCUUCGACAAUUAACUCAAUGCCACCCUUUAAGGUAACAGCACCUUCAUUAGGGCUUCAAGCCCACUUCCUAUGAAAUCAGAUUUUAGAUUUUUCAAUCAACUUAAGAUUGGUGAAAGAAAAGAUUAAGAUAAUACUACUGUAAGAGAACUCAGCAGAGAGUGGCCUGGAAGUGCAUAUGAUAUGUUGUCCCAAAUCUGCAACCACUUUUGUGGUGAAUUGUGUGAAAUGUCUUUCUGAUGCUGGUUGGAGAUGGUUGUAUGCUGAUGUGGGACUUGAUCUUGCUUUUGGCAUAUGAAAAUGACAUGGAUGUGUGGCUGUUGCCUGUUUGUAGGUUGUGAACAUUCUUAGUGGUGCAUUGAAAUUAUGAAGGCAACCCAAUUAUGAAUCUAGAAUUGGAUUUAAUAUCAACUUGAAAUUUAAAUUAUAAAUCUAGAACUAGCUCAUGUCUAUCAAACAGACUUGUGAAGUGAGGUUGUGAAAAGCAGUUUAGAAAUCAACCAAGUUACUAUCGCAAUGUAGGAUCAACUUUGCAGCAAUAAGGACAUUUGCAUGACCUUAUAUACUGUUAAAAUUUGUCAAACAAAUCCGGUUCAGGAGAUUUAGAGGUAACUAUGUACAAAUGUGGAAAGUCCAUUAAGGAGAGAUAGAGGUAGCUAUGCAGGCAACCGAGAAUCAAACCUUAGGACAAACCCAGAAAGGAAAUCCCGCCUCUGUCAUGCAAUCAACAGCCGCAGUAAACACAGCUGUCGAUCUUCUCAACUACGACGACAUCUCAGACAUUUCCAGAAACCAAGGUGUGAGCAUCUCCGAAACUGAAGUUCGUGGAAACCGUGUGAUCACUGAGUCGGUUGGGUCACAAGUUGUAUGACAGUUUGUUGAACCUGAUGUGCCAAUGAACGGUCUUGGUUUCUUGGAUUGUGACUAUAUUCCUACUGGUACAUCAUGUACUUGAAUUGUGGUUUAAUCAAUUAUUUGUUACUAAAAAAAGGCAUUACCUGCCUAUUCUAGAUAAAAUCUUGGAAUUAUUUGAA
Molecule: long non-coding RNA, 1322 nt
Organism: Vicia villosa (hairy vetch)
Lineage: Eukaryota; Viridiplantae; Streptophyta; Magnoliopsida; Fabales; Fabaceae
Exons: 6
Source: RefSeq, a predicted model, not a curated record